AGGAGAGUAGCUCAGUUGGUAGAGCACCGGUCUCCAAAACCGGGUGUCGCAGGUUCAAGUCCUGUCUCUCCUGCCA
Molecule: transfer RNA, 76 nt
Filed under: Candidatus Saccharimonadota bacterium
Lineage: Bacteria; Candidatus Saccharimonadota
Description: tRNA-Trp
Rfam family: tRNA
About the family: Transfer RNA (tRNA) molecules are approximately 80 nucleotides in length.
Source: RNAcentral